RNAcentral lists this non-coding RNA (23 nucleotides) under Cricetulus griseus (Chinese hamster). Lineage: Eukaryota; Metazoa; Chordata; Mammalia; Rodentia; Cricetidae. The record is from RNAcentral.
UGCGCUUCUGGGUCCUUCAGAUC